This 403-nucleotide ribosomal RNA is filed under the name uncultured bacterium. RNAcentral describes it as "bacterial SSU rRNA". It matches the Rfam family "Bacterial small subunit ribosomal RNA", at positions 474 to 879 of the family's 1533-position model. The record is from RNAcentral.
UGUACUUUAUGAAUAAGGAUCGGCUAACUCCGUGCCAGCAGCCGCGGUAAUACGGAGGAUCCGAGCGUUAUCCGGAUUUAUUGGGUUUAAAGGGAGCGUAGAUGGAUGUUUAAGUCAGUUGUGAAAGUUUGCGGCUCAACCGUAAAAUUGCAGUUGAUACUGGAUGUCUUGAGUGCAGUUGAGGCAGGCGGAAUUCGUGGUGUAGCGGUGAAAUGCUUAGAUAUCACGAAGAACUCCGAUUGCGAAGGCAGCCUGCUAAGCUGCAACUGACAUUGAGGCUCGAAAGUGUGGGUAUCAAACAGGAUUAGAUACCCUGGUAGUCCACACGGUAAACGAUGAAUAUUCGCUGUUUGCGAUAUACGGCAAGCGGCCAAGCGAAAGCGUUAAGUAUUCCACCUGGGGA